GGCCAAGUUUUUAAGGGCGCACGGUGGAUGCCUUGGCACCAGGAACCGAUGAAGGACGUGGGAGGCCACGAUAGUCCCCGGGGAGUCGUCAACCAGGCUUUGAUCCGGGGGUUUCCGAAUGGGGAAACCCGGCAGUCGUCAUGGGCUGUCACCCGCUGCUGAACACAUAGGCAGUGUGGAGGGAACGCGGGGAAGUGAAACAUCUCAGUACCCGCAGGAAGAGAAAACAACCGUGAUUCCGGGAGUAGUGGCGAGCGAAACCGGAUGAGGCCAAACCGUAUACGUGUGAGACCCGGCAGGGGUUGCGUGUGCGGGGUUGUGGGAUCUCUCUUCUGUCGUCUGCCGGCGGCAGGACGAGUCAGAAACCGUUGAUGUAGGCGAAGGACAUGCGAAAGGUCCGGCGUAGAGGGUAAGACCCCCGUAGUCGAAACGUCAGCGGCUCGUUUGAGAGACACCCAAGUAGCACGGGGCCCGAGAAAUCCCGUGUGAAUCUGGCGGGACCACCCGCUAAGCCUAAAUAUUCCCUGGUGACCGAUAGCGGAUAGUACCGUGAGGGAAUGGUGAAAAGUACCGCGGGAGCGGAGUGAAAUAGUACCUGAAACCGUGUGCCUACAAGCCGUGGGAGCGUCGGAUGCAGCUUGCUGCAUCUCGUGACUGCGUGCCUUUUGAAGAAUGAGCCUGCGAGUUUGCGGUGUGUUGCGAGGUUAACCCGGGUGGGGAAGCCGUAGCGAAAGCGAGUCCGAACAGGGCGAUUUUAGUAGCACGCUCAAGACCCGAAGCGGAGUGAUCUAGCCAUGGGCAGGUUGAAGCGGAGGUAAGACUUCGUGGAGGACCGAACCCACCAGGGUUGAAAACCUGGGGGAUGACCUGUGGUUAGGGGUGAAAGGCCAAUCAAACUCCGUGAUAGCUGGUUCUCCCCGAAAUGCAUUUAGGUGCAGCGUCGUGUGUUUCUUGCCGGAGGUAGAGCACUGGAUAGGCGAUGGGCCCUACCGGGUUACUGACCUUAGCCAAACUCCGAAUGCCGGUAAGUGAGAGCGCGGCAGUGAGACUGUGGGGGAUAAGCUCCAUGGUCGAGAGGGAAACAGCCCAGAGCAUCGACUAAGGCCCCUAAGCGUACGCUAAGUGGGAAAGGAUGUGGAGUCGCACAGACAACCAGGAGGUUGGCUUAGAAGCAGCCACCCUUGAAAGAGUGCGUAAUAGCUCACUGGUCUAGUGAUUCCGCGCCGACAAUGUAGCGGGGCUCAAGCGUACCGCCGAAGUCGUGUCAUUGCAGCAAUACGGCCAACGCCGGCUGUGAUGGGUAGGGGAGCGUCGUGUGCCGGGUGAAGCAGCGCCGGAAGGCAGUUGUGGACGGUUCACGAGUGAGAAUGCAGGCAUGAGUAGCGAUACAAACGUGAGAAACGUUUGCGCCGAUUGACUAAGGGUUCCUGGGUCAAGCUGAUCUGCCCAGGGUAAGUCGGGACCUAAGGCGAGGCCGACAGGCGUAGUCGAUGGAUAACCGGUUGAUAUUCCGGUACCCGCUGUGAAGCGUCAAACAUCGAGCAUCGUGAUGCUAAGGCCGUGAAGCCGCCCUGAUCUCUUCGGAGUUGAGGGGAGUGGUGGAGCCGCCGAACCAAGCGGUUAGUAGGUGAGUGAUGGGGUGACGCAGGAAGGUAGUCCAUCCCGGGCGGUGGUUGUCCCGGGGUAAGGGUGUAGGACGUCAGGUAGGUAAAUCCGCCUGGCAAUAGUCUGAGACCUGAUGCCGAGCCGAUUGUGGUGAAGUGGAUGAUCCUAUGCUGUCGAGAAAAGCCUCUAGCGAGUUUCAUGGCGGCCCGUACCCUAAACCGACUCAGGUGGUCAGGUAGAGAAUACCGAGGCGUUCGGGUGAACUAUGGUUAAGGAACUCGGCAAAAUGCCCCCGUAACUUCGGGAGAAGGGGGGCCACACCUGGUGACGAGUCUUGCACUCUGAGCUGGGGGUGGCCGCAGAGACCAGCGAGAAGCGACUGUUUACUAAAAACACAGGUCCGUGCGAAGCCGUAAGGCGAUGUAUACGGACUGACGCCUGCCCGGUGCUGGAACGUUAAGGGGACCGGUUAGCUCCAUUUCGGUGGGGCGAAGCUGAGAACUUAAGCGCCAGUAAACGGCGGUGGUAACUAUAACCAUCCUAAGGUAGCGAAAUUCCUUGUCGGGUAAGUUCCGACCUGCACGAAUGGCGUAACGACUUCUCGACUGUCUCAACCAUAGGCCCGGUGAAAUUGCACUACGAGUAAAGAUGCUCGUUUCGCGCAGCAGGACGGAAAGACCCCGGGACCUUUACUACAGUUUGAUAUUGGUGUUCGGUUCGGCUUGUGUAGGAUAGCUGGGAGACUUUGAAGCUCGCACGCCAGUGUGGGUGGAGUCGUCGUUGAAAUACCAGUCUGGUCGUGCUGGAUGUCUAACCUGGGUCCGUGAUCCGGAUCAGGGACAGUGUCUGAUGGGUAGUUUAACUGGGGCGGUUGCCUCCUAAAGAGUAACGGAGGCGCCCAAAGGUUCCCUCAGCCUGGUUGGCAAUCAGGUGUUGAGUGUAAGUGCACAAGGGAGCUUGACUGUGAGACCGACGGGUCGAGCAGGGACGAAAGUCGGGACUAGUGAUCCGGCGGUGGCUUGUGGAAGCGCCGUCGCUCAACGGAUAAAAGGUACCCCGGGGAUAACAGGCUGAUCUUCCCCAAGAGUCCAUAUCGACGGGAUGGUUUGGCACCUCGAUGUCGGCUCGUCGCAUCCUGGGGCUGGAGUCGGUCCCAAGGGUUGGGCUGUUCGCCCAUUAAAGCGGUACGCGAGCUGGGUUUAGAACGUCGUGAGACAGUUCGGUCCCUAUCCGCUGUGCGCGUAGGAGUCUUGAGAAGGGCUGUCCCUAGUACGAGAGGACCGGGACGGACGAACCUCUGGUGUGCCAGUUGUCCUGCCAAGGGCAUGGCUGGUUGGCUACGUUCGGGAGGGAUAACCGCUGAAAGCAUCUAAGCGGGAAGCCUGCUUCGAGAUGAGGACUCCCACCCCCUUGAGGGGUUAAGGCUCCCAGUAGACGACUGGGUUGAUAGGCCGGAUCUGGAAGCACCGUGAGGUGUGGAGGUGACCGGUACUAAUAGGCCGAGGGCUUGUCCUC
Molecule: ribosomal RNA, 3120 nt
Filed under: Streptomyces sp. VNUA74
Lineage: Bacteria; Bacillati; Actinomycetota; Actinomycetes; Kitasatosporales; Streptomycetaceae
Description: 23S ribosomal RNA
Rfam family: Bacterial large subunit ribosomal RNA
Source: RNAcentral